Long non-coding RNA from Heterocephalus glaber (naked mole-rat), 2817 nucleotides. The record is from Ensembl. NCBI's taxonomy places the organism in Eukaryota, Metazoa, Chordata, Mammalia, Rodentia, Bathyergidae.
GGAGGGGAGCAGGGUAGAGCUUGGACACCUGCUGAUACCAAGUGUCACUGGAGCAGGACUGUAAAGGGAGCCACUAGGGUAUCUUUGCAAAAGAGAACAAAUGGGUAAUUCAGAAGGGAAGAAUUUAUUGGAGUCAAGUUGACCUUGGCUGGGAGUGAACUCAGCGGGGCCUCACUACUUCAUGGACUAGGACUUAAGUCUCUUGGUAGUAGCCAUUCACAGAAGAGCUAAACUCACCCAACUCAGUUAUCUGACAUGCCCAUUUGAGUCAAUAUAAAGCUUUGGUCAGAAUCCUAAGAUAAUACAAAGCCAAAUUAUGGAGGGGCAAGAAGCUUAUGCCACUUGUAGCCUGCUAAUACUGGGCAGAAAUGUCUGCUACAGACCCUUACACUGCAGGUGGCAUUACUGGUUUUCUGGAACCAGACUGGAGAAAGAAUGAAAUUAGCUUGCUCAACUGAAAGCAGUGCCCAGCUUUUCUGAUGUGUGGUUGCUGACCCCACCUGAAGUAAAGGUAACUCCAGAAAGCCCAGCCUUCUGGCCACACUUGCCCAGAAAUAAAAGAGGGUGUGGGAUCCCCACAGCCAGGAGGCUCCACUGCGGGAAGUUCUGCCUGUGAACUGGCCAGUGAGGUGACUGCCACAGCUGCUGCUCACAGCAAAAGUCUUCCCCCCUGGAGCAGUGAGCAUUCUGCAUCCAGAACUUGUAGGGCAAACCAAACACACACACCCUACACCACCCCAGCUUCCCUCUGAGUGCUUCCCUGGCUCAUUCCUGCAUCUCCCUCCCUCCCAAAGCCCCAGAAACUAACCCCACAGCUUUAUCCAGCCCUGCUGAGUUGGGCGGGAGAGGUGAGAAGUGAUGAUUGGUUGCCUCCAUCUCAUCCAGGGAGCAGGGACACUCGAUGGGACCCUGAUAAGGAAUAUCAUCUCUAGGAGUGACAUUGACUUGAAUCUUAUCAAGUGUCAGUUCAGUAAGAUGUAUGGCAAAACCCUCAGCAGCAUGAUCACGGUAGUUGGUGAGGGAUUCAAAAGGUGACACAAAGGAAUCCUCCAGAAUGAAGAACAAGAAAGGAUGACACCAGUGGUGACUACAAGAACGCCCUCCCUGAACCUGGUGGGAAGUGACCCAUGAAGUCACUGAAGAAUGAGAGCCAAGACCAAGAAGCAGGGGUCUCCAGGCCCUGCCCCCAUGACCUUGGCCAUGGGUGGGGGUUGAGGGGCCCUCAGCCAGCUUCCAGUCUUUAUCUCCUAGUGCUUUCUGGCCAACAUUUCUGACCCAGAGGAUGACACCAGCCCCAGCUCCUCCUUCCAUCUUCUCUCCCAGAUCAUCUCUAGGUCAUGCACAAAGACUUUAGCAAAGCUCUUGCUGGACAAAUAUGUCAGCCUACAGGGGCUCAUGGGUCAUUUCUUCCUCCUAGACAGAGCCUGCCUGAGCUUAACUGGUCACAGAAUUACCUGGGCAUAGGUUAUGCAGAUACCUUGGCCCAGUCCCAUCUACAGAAUCAAGGGUCCCCCAGGAGGACUAGGGAACAUAGAUCUCUAACAAGUGUCUCAGUCAUUUGCUUCCUUAUCACCCACCAGCCAGAGGGCCCUAAGAGCCCUUUUGUAGUAGAGCACAGGCCCCUGAAUUGCUGAGAAAGGGAUGCAUAUCCAUGUCAAUUGGGAUGCCACCAGUCUCCUUGAAAAAGUCAGACUCUGACAUCCUCACACUAUCCUGAUGACAGAGUAAUUGGACUACAGAGCAAUGUCCUGACCCAAGGGCUCUAUGUCCUAGAAGCUCAGGCUUCCUGGUUGUUCAGCAGUUCUGCUCUGUCCUCUGUGACACAGCAUGCAGCACAGGGGAUGACAACCCUGAGCAUGACUCAUCCCGACCCAAGGCCACCAAGCCUGGAGACCUGCAGAGGCCUCAUUUUCAUCUUCCUAGAUAUUUUCUGGGCUUUCAGAAUAAUAAACAUCUGCAUAUUCAGAAAGGGUCUUUGGAUUUGUACCAGUGACCAGAGCAAGGCCAGUUUCAUUGGCCAGAAGCAGAGUUUCAGAGCUACCCAACCUGAGCACACUUGUGGGCAUCCUCUGAGGGACCGCUGGGUGGUCACUGGUACCACUGGUGGGUACCACUGGUGGGUACCAGUGGUGGAUGCUCACUGUUGCCCCAGGCAUGACACUUGUAGAUGAGGAUAGUUUCUUUUAACAUCUAUUUUGUACUCUAAAUUCUGACAUCUCUGGGUUGGAAGGGGCUUUUAAAUGUCACCUGGUUUCUUCCUACUGCACCUUGACUGCCCUCCAAGGCACAUGCUCCACAUCAUCCUUGGUGCACGUGGUCUGUACUUGUUGUACAUGGGGUGUACUUGGCUGCUUCCAGUGACAGGAACUCACAGCUUCCUUGGGUGGCCCAGUCUUUUCCCAAAAAGUGAUUCACAGUGUUCACCCUUAACUGAGCCAAAAUCUACCCUCUUGUGUCCACUGCAGUCUGUCAUCUAGGGCUACAACAUUUGUCCUUUCCCAAUAGCAACGUUUGGUAUCAUAAGCAGCCCACCUAUUCCACUAAAAUUUCUGCCAAAGUUAGAGGUCCCCAGUCCUUCCAACUGCCCCUCCUGGAACCUCAUCAGGGGCCAUGGGCUCUGCCUCUGAACAUGAUCCCGUUCAUAAACUCCAGGGUGUGGCCCCAGGAGUAAAGGGCACACCCUGGAAUUCAAGAUCAGGGGGAUGACACAGGGUGGGCUCUGAGCUCACACAGAUGGGAGGUGGAUCCUGGCUCUGCCCUGUGCUGGCUCCAUGACGCUGAGCUAACAUUCUCUCUCCCUCUCUCUCUCUCUCUCUC